UACGAAGGGUGCAAGCGUUACUCGGAAUUACUGGGCGUAAAGCGUGCGUAGGUGGUUUUUUAAGUCCGUUGUGAAAGCCCUGGGCUCAACCUGGGAAUGGCAGUGGAUACUGGAAAGCUAGAGUGCGGUAGAGGGUAGUGGAAUUCCCGGUGUAGCAGUGAAAUGCGUAGAGAUCGGGGGGAACACCAGUGGCGAAGGCGGCUACCUGGACCAGCACUGACACUGAGGCACGAAAGCGUGGGGAGCAAACAGG
This 253-nucleotide ribosomal RNA is filed under the name uncultured bacterium. RNAcentral describes it as "partial 16S ribosomal RNA". It matches the Rfam family "Bacterial small subunit ribosomal RNA", at positions 524 to 776 of the family's 1533-position model. The record is from RNAcentral.